RNAcentral lists this long non-coding RNA (3255 nucleotides) under Paramuricea clavata. The record is from RNAcentral. Lineage: Eukaryota; Metazoa; Cnidaria; Anthozoa; Malacalcyonacea; Plexauridae.
CUAGUGUGAUUUGCAAAUUUUCGAUUUUUUUCGUUUGGAUAUAUUUCGCUCAAGAAAAGCUAUAUUUCGCUCAAGAAAAGCUAAAUUUCGAUUGGAUAAGUGACUCUAAGUCCUGCUAAAGGCUUAUUGAUCGCAGGUAUGUAUUAUUAUUACUCUUUAUAUCAUAUAAUUAUAACGUCCAUCGACCCUAUUUAUAUUUCAUUCUGCUAAAAUUUGAAUUUGCGCGCACGAGAUUUUAUAUAUUGAAAUAAUUUAAUUCCAAUGCCGCCAAAUAUUAGUUAAAACCAACAAUUCAAAUUUUGAACCAGCACAUUAUAGUAAAUACUGGGUUGCACUUGUUUGACAAAACUCGAGAAAGCAUCUUUGAACCCACACAGUGUAUUAAUAUUUGAAACAAUACGUGAAAUGUGAAUAUGAAUAUAAAUAUGGGUUUGCUUUGCUACAAGCCUAUUUAAGCCAAACCAUGAGAAUUAUUUGAGAGUAUUAAUUAAAUUAUGUUCUUUUAAUCACCUCUCCCCUGGAUUUCCAAGGUCUUUCAAGUCAUUGAGUGCCACUGAGCUCUCUCCCCUUGACAAGUAAAAUCACAUAGGCAUUAACUCUGCCUAGGGUUACUGGCCGGGUUAGACUGAGUAAAAUUAGUGGUGUUUACACUACAAGCCUUGGCCAGGCCAAGAUAAAUGUGGCAUGUUUACACCAUUGCACUAUUUUUUUGAGGUCUACAGGCUCACUUUGGCUAAUAUUUUUUUAUUAUUGUGUUGUGAUGUUGUCUGCUGGUUGUCUGCUAAUCUCUCACUGUGGACACAUGUUACCAUGAAAAUCAGGCCCCGGCCAGGGCGAAAGUGUUUACAUUUCCACAAGCCAGGUAGGCUUACGCCAGGUCUGUUGUAGUGAGUCCAGAUUUCCUGGCCUAGGUCAGGACAAGGCUGGGCCAUUUCCACAAGCCUAGGCUUAGGCCAGGUCGGUUGUAGUAAGCCCAGAUUUCCUGGCCUAGGUCAGGACAAGGCUAGACCAAAGUCUGUUACACUGUCAAAAUGUUGGCCAAGUCUGGUAGUGUAAACACGACUAUUGAAUGCAUCAGGGUGCAUUACGACUAAAUGGUUAGUGUUUCCCACAAUAUGGUAAAAAGGUAUAAACUUUUGCUAGCUUGAGCUUGGAUGAUUUCCGAGCUAAACCCUUCUAGAGUUUACCCUGUAUACAUGUGCCUGUUUAUAUGAUAAUGGCAUGACUGGACAGUAGGUUUUAAUCCAGGAUGGUGUGUUUAAUAUAGACGGAAUACACCCCACCUGGCAGGAAUGAUAGAGUGCUUACUGUAUAUGAGAGUUUCUUGUCCUGGCAGGUGGGAUCCUGUCUAGGCCUGAUAGAAGUAGAAUAAUUCACUUUAAUUACUAAACAGUUGAUAGAGUUCACAUUGCAUGCUGGAUCAUGCCGGCGGUGUCAUAAUAAUUACAAAGUGGCUACAGUAUGAUGCUUGUGAUGUUACUCUGAGUGUAUAUCCACACCGUGCAAGCUUGAAAAAUAUGAAGGAUUUCAGCAAGCUCAAAAAUAGAUCACAAGGUUAGGCAGAUGGCUGCUGUGCUGUAGUCUGUGGUUCGAACCCGAGUUGGGACAGGUUUUUGUUCACCUUAACUAAACAUGUCUUUUUUUCUGAUUAGUUUAUUUUUUAGGGGUAGAGGUUAGGAUUAGUUUUGUUUGAAUUUGACUUUAACUAUAAAUACAACCUGUGUGGAGACUAAGAAUGAGAGUGCCAUAAAUAUAGCCUGGCAAAGUUUGUUUACGGGCCUGAAGAUAUAUGGCAUUAGACAGAGUACAAUAAUCUGGCAUUUAAAAGACAGUAAAAUAAGGAAGUAGGACACACAAGGGUUAGGGUACAAUACAACUUAAUGGGUUCACUAGACACAUGACCAUAUUAACCCAACAAAACAGAAAUACUUCUCAAGAAGUUUAGCAGGACAUUAAGAUGGGGUGUUAACUGGAUAUUACACUAGGCCGGACAUGCAUAAACUGCAUUGUACCACAACUUUAUUGUUUUAAGGUUGUUUUCCAGUCCUCGCACAAAGCUCCUUGCAGCUCGCUGCGAGGGCUUGUAUCUAAUUAAAAUUAACUGUUUAGCAUUGUGAUUGGAUGAAACUGCUCAUGCAUGCACUCUCAGCGAGCUGCGAGGAGCUUCGUGUGAGAACUGGAAAACCGCCUUUACUCUGUCUGAUGGGUCGGUCCAGAAAAGAUCCACUCUCCCCCGGGCACAGAGGAAAUUUCUACCGUCAGGAGGGGAGGGGAGAAAAAAUUGUUUCUGAUAAUAGUAAGUGUAUUAGGACAUUCUAAUUUCAAAGGGGAUAGGGGAUUAACUUCCAAUCUCCUUCAUACAUAAUCUUAUGAAUCUAUUCAAAGUUUUCUGGAAUAAGCCAAUAGCAUAUUAAAUCACAAAUACCAACAACCAGUAGCAGAUACCUCGUAAAAUAUUGGGGGUACUGUUGAGAUGUCUGUUAACAAAUCCUAUCUAGUGCAUAUUUCUCUUGUUCACCCAUUCACUGGCAAUAUGCUCUACCUUAUAUUACUCUGUCUAAUGCCAGCAAAUUUUACAGUUUUACUUGUUGAGAAGAUAGCCUUGCAGCAGUUUCCAAUUUUCCAUGUUUCGCCCACACAGAGAACACAGUACAUUACAGGGGAUGAGAAGGGUAAAAGCCAUAUGAACCAAGGGUUAUCAAUUACGUUAAUACUAGAACCAACUUCAACCAAAGGUUGGGUUGUGCUACUACAUUAGGUCUUCUCAUUCGUAAUAAUUUGCAAAGUUUAUAGGUUGGACAGGAGGGAAUUGCUCAUAUUGCUGCAUGCGAACUGUGAACUUGUACUAUAUACUGUAAUGUUAGCUGACCGGUACAUUAAAUACAGUAUGUAGAGCUAAUGAUAGUCUUGUAUUUCCUUUCUUAUAGCUCAUGUGACUAAACGUUUUGCGGGAGCAACAGCUUCAUCAGUGAAAGGUGCCAUGGCCCAAAAGUGCAAAGACAAAAGAAAUGCUGAUAUGAAAAGAAGAAAAAUUGUAGAACACAUUUGAACUGCUAAGUUUUUUCCUUAUUAUAAAUUAUUUUGUAUGGUAGCUAAACAUUUGUAGAAAUUAACUGCAUUAAUAAAUUAUUUAAACUUCCUAUAUAUACCAUUACAGUAUCUCACUGUUUGACAGGUUAAAUGUGCAUGAUUGAAGCUUUGCAUAAUUUCACAUGUGAAACUGGAACAUGUGAUAUUUCACAUGUGUAUUUGGAA